RNAcentral lists this ribosomal RNA (896 nucleotides) under Candidatus Curtissbacteria bacterium GW2011_GWC1_44_33. RNAcentral describes it as "partial 16S ribosomal RNA". It matches the Rfam family "Bacterial small subunit ribosomal RNA", at positions 1 to 941 of the family's 1533-position model. The record is from RNAcentral. Lineage: Bacteria; Candidatus Curtissiibacteriota.
UUUAAGAGUUUGAUCCUGGCUCAGGAUGAACGCUGGCGGCGUGCCUUAGGCAUGCAAGUCGAACGGCCGGAGAUCAGAAACCGGAAGUCGGAUGCCGGAAUUCAGAAAUCGGAUUUGCUAUAGUUGUGUGUAUGGAGGUAAGUAAAUUAAGGGUUUACAGACAAUGUCUGCAAGCUUUUCAGAUGGUUGAAGAUAUUGCUAAGGAUUUACCCCCAGAGCUAUUUGACACAAAAAGACAAAUAUUGCGCAGUUCAAAAGCUAUUGCGCCAAUAAUUGCCGAAGGUUUUGGCAGAAAAAGAUCUCAACGCGAGUUCUAUAAAUACGUUAUAGAUGCUAUGAGUUCUUCUGAUGAAACCAUUACACAUUUACGUACUAUUGCAAUGUCCAAAUUUAAUACAAUUCCGAUUGAGAAAUUGAAGAAAACUGCAGAAGUGUACAAGUCUAUUUCUAGACAGCUUAAUAAAUUAUCUUCAACUAUUAAAUCGUGGUAUCUGAUCUCCGGCAGUGGCGGAAGGGUGAGUAACGCGUGGGAACGUACCUUUUGGUGGAGCAUAGCCUUCCGAAAGGAGGGGUAAUACUGCAUAAUCCCAAGGCUUCGCCUUGUGAAAUUCGAAGCACGAAUAUCGAGACUCGAAACAAAUCACGAUGUUCAAAUUUUCAAAAUCCAAAACGUUUUGAUCAUUUGGAUUUUAGGAUUUAAGUAUUGUUUCGGAUUUCGGAUUUAGAAUUUAGAACACGGUCCCUACACCUACGGGUGGCAGCAACUAGGAAUUUUGGACAAUGGGCGAAAGCCUGAUCCAGCGACGCCGCGUGGGGGAAGAACCCGCCUGGGGAGUACGGCCGCAAGGCUAAAACUCAAAGGAAUUGACGGGGACCCGCACAAGCGGUGGAGCAUG